RNAcentral lists this ribosomal RNA (254 nucleotides) under uncultured bacterium. RNAcentral's name for it is "partial 16S ribosomal RNA". It matches the Rfam family "Bacterial small subunit ribosomal RNA", at positions 524 to 776 of the family's 1533-position model. The record is from RNAcentral.
UACAGAGGGUGCGAGCGUUGUUCGGAAUUACUGGGCGUAAAGCGCGCGCAGGCGGCCUUUUAAGUCUGCUGGUGAAAUGCCGGGGCUCAACCCCGGGCCCGCCACAGAUACUGGGAGGCUGGAGACGAGUAGAGGCAAGCGGAAUUCCGGGUGUAGCGGUGGAAUGCGUAGAGAUCCGGAAGAACACCGGAGGCGAAGGCGGCUUGCUGGGCUUGGUCUGACGCUGAGGCGCGAAAGCGUGGGGAGCGAACAGG